UACGGAGGGUGCAAGCGUUAUCCGGAUUUACUGGGUUUAAAGGGUGCGUAGGUGGACAGGAAAGUCGGUGGUGAAAUCUUCGAGCUUAACUCGGAAACUGCCAUUGAUACUAUUUGUCUUGAAUACUUUGGAGGUAAGCGGAAUAUGUCAUGUAGCGGUGAAAUGCUUAGAUAUGACAUAGAACACCAAUUGCGAAGGCAGCUUACUACACAGUUAUUGACGCUGAUGCACGAAAGUGCGGGGAUCAAACAGG
RNAcentral lists this ribosomal RNA (253 nucleotides) under uncultured bacterium. RNAcentral describes it as "partial 16S ribosomal RNA". It matches the Rfam family "Bacterial small subunit ribosomal RNA", at positions 524 to 776 of the family's 1533-position model. The record is from RNAcentral.